UACAGGGGGGGCAAGCGUUGUUCGGAAUUACUGGGCGUAAAGGGCUCGUAGGGGGCCAACUAAGUCAGACGUGAAAUCCCUCGGCUUAACCGGGGAACUGCGUCUGAUACUGGAUGGCUUGAGUUUGGGAGAGGGACGCGGAAUUCCAGGUGUAGCGGUGAAAUGCGUAGAUAUCUGGAGGAACACCGGUGGCGAAGGCGGCGUCCUGGACCAACACUGACACUGAGGAGCGAAAGCCAGGGGAGCAAACGGG
RNAcentral lists this ribosomal RNA (253 nucleotides) under uncultured bacterium. Its description in RNAcentral is "partial 16S ribosomal RNA". It matches the Rfam family "Bacterial small subunit ribosomal RNA", at positions 524 to 776 of the family's 1533-position model. The record is from RNAcentral.